GACGAACGCUGGCGGCGUGCUUAACACAUGCAAGUCGAACGGAAAGGCCCUGCUUUUGUGGGGUGCUCGAGUGGCGAACGGGUGAGUAACACGUGAGUAACCUGCCCUUGACUUUGGGAUAACUUCAGGAAACUGGGGCUAAUACCGGAUAGGAGCUCCUGCUGCAUGGUGGGGGUUGGAAAGUUUCGGCGGUUGGGGAUGGACUCGCGGCUUAUCAGCUUGUUGGUGGGGUAGUGGCUUACCAAGGCUUUGACGGGUAGCCGGCCUGAGAGGGUGACCGGCCAAAUUGGGACUGAGAUACGGCACAGACUCCUAAGGGAGGCAGCAGUGGGGAAUAUUGCAAAAUGGGCGGAAGCCUGAUGCAGCAACGCCGCGUGCGGGAUGACGGCCUUCGGGUUGUAAACCGCUUUCGCCUGUGACGAAGCGUGAGUGACGGUAAUGGGUAAAGAAGCACCGGCUAACUACGUG
This 468-nucleotide ribosomal RNA is filed under the name uncultured bacterium. RNAcentral describes it as "partial 16S ribosomal RNA". It matches the Rfam family "Bacterial small subunit ribosomal RNA", at positions 28 to 507 of the family's 1533-position model. The record is from RNAcentral.